AAUAGAAACAUGGUCUCUUCCUGGAUCUCCAGCCUGCCAGCCUUUGAACUAGAACUAUACUGUUGGCUCUCUUGGGUCUCCAGCUGACUGACUACAGAUCUUGGGACUCGUCAGCCUGCAUAAUCAUGUAGACCUUUUUGGGUCAGAAUUGUGGAGAAAACAUCUGAGUCAGAUUACUAGGAUCUGAUGUGCAGGAAAAGCUCUUUGUAUGCACCAAGUCUGGACCUAUAACAUGGAAGAUUAUGAUCCACUAACCCUCCAGAUGACAGAAGCAAAGGAAGUUAAUUUGCUUGGGGUGAAAAUAGUUAAGCAGAUGUCAUAAUAACAGGUAUGCAGGGGUAAUGAAGAGUUUGAAAACUAUCAUUUUCUGUUUCUAGAAACUUUGGAGGCAUUGACUUAUUCCAAGAGAAUUUUCGUGUCCUUAUAUUGAAUUAUCACUUUCUACCUAAAACCGCCAUGAUUGUUUUCUGUCACUUAUCCUAGUUAAGACAACUUUCUAUUCUUCUGAUAACCCAUUUCAACGUUAUUAGGUCUAAAAUC
Molecule: long non-coding RNA, 540 nt
Organism: Globicephala melas (long-finned pilot whale)
Lineage: Eukaryota; Metazoa; Chordata; Mammalia; Artiodactyla; Delphinidae
Source: RefSeq, a predicted model, not a curated record